RNAcentral lists this ribosomal RNA (439 nucleotides) under uncultured bacterium. RNAcentral describes it as "partial 16S ribosomal RNA". It matches the Rfam family "Bacterial small subunit ribosomal RNA", at positions 355 to 786 of the family's 1533-position model. The record is from RNAcentral.
UAGGGAAUCUUCCACAAUGGACGAAAGUCUGAUGGAGCAACGCCGCGUGAGUGAUGAAGGGUUUCGGCUCGUAAAACUCUGUUGUUGGAGAAGAACGGGUGUCAGAGUAACUGUUGACGUCGUGACGGUAUCCAACCAGAAAGCCACGGCUAACUACGUGCCAGCAGCCGCGGUAAUACGUAGGUGGCAAGCGUUGUCCGGAUUUAUUGGGCGUAAAGCGAGCGCAGGCGGUUUUUUAGGUCUGAUGUGAAAGCCUUCGGCUUAACCAGAGAAGUGCAUCGGAAACCGGGAGACUUGAGUGCAGAAGAGGACAGUGGAACUCCAUGUGUAGCGGUGAAAUGCGUAGAUAUAUGGAAGAACACCAGUGGCGAAGGCGGCUGUCUGGUCUGCAACUGACGCUGAGGCUCGAAAGCAUGGGUAGCGAACAGGAUUAGAUACC